AGUUUGUAGUCCUCGGCUCAGGAUGAACGCGUAGCGGCAGGCCUAACACAUGCAAGUCGAGGGGUAGAAAGAGCUUGCUUUUUGUAGACCGGCGCACGGGUGAGUAACGCGUAUGCAACCUACCUUAUACAGGGGAAUAGCCCGAAGAAAUUCGGAUUAAUGCUCCAUGGUUUAUCGAUAUGGCAUCGUAUUGAUAAUAAAGAUUUAUCGGUAUAAGAUGGGCAUGCGUAUCAUUAGCUAGUUGGUGUGGUAACGGCAUACCAAGGCAACGAUGAUUAGGGGUCCUGAGAGGGAGAUCCCCCACACUGGUACUGAGACACGGACCAGACUCCUACGGGAGGCAGCAGUGAGGAAUAUUGGUCAAUGGAGGCAACUCUGAACCAGCCAUGCCGCGUGCAGGAUGACGGUCCUAUGGAUUGUAAACUGCUUUUGUACAGGAAGAAACCCCCCUACGAGUAGGGACUUGACGGUACUGUAAGAAUAAGGAUCGGCUAACUCCGUG
This 502-nucleotide ribosomal RNA is filed under the name uncultured Myroides sp. RNAcentral's name for it is "bacterial SSU rRNA". It matches the Rfam family "Bacterial small subunit ribosomal RNA", at positions 10 to 507 of the family's 1533-position model. The record is from RNAcentral. Lineage: Bacteria; Pseudomonadati; Bacteroidota; Flavobacteriia; Flavobacteriales; Flavobacteriaceae.